This 71-nucleotide transfer RNA is filed under the name Acidobacteriota bacterium. RNAcentral describes it as "tRNA-Ser". It matches the Rfam family "tRNA". From Rfam's summary of the family: Transfer RNA (tRNA) molecules are approximately 80 nucleotides in length. Their secondary structure includes four short double-helical elements and three loops (D, anti-codon, and T loops). Lineage: Bacteria; Pseudomonadati; Acidobacteriota. The record is from RNAcentral.
GGAGAGAUGGCCGAGUGGGCGAAGGCGCACGCUUGGAAAGCGAAUCCCUGGAGCGACACCAGGCCACUCCG